This 497-nucleotide ribosomal RNA is filed under the name uncultured bacterium. RNAcentral's name for it is "partial 16S ribosomal RNA". It matches the Rfam family "Bacterial small subunit ribosomal RNA", at positions 28 to 507 of the family's 1533-position model. The record is from RNAcentral.
GAUGAACGCUGGCGGCGUGCCUAGUACAUGCAAGUCGAGCGAACAGAUAAGGAGCUUGCUCCUUUGACGUUAGCGGCGGACGGGUGAGUAACACGUGGGUAACCUACCUAUAAGACUGGAAUAACUCCGGGAAACCGGGGCUAAUGCCGGAUAACAUUUAGAACCGCAUGGUUCUAAAGUGAAAGAUGGUUUUGCUAUCACUUAUAGAUGGACCCGCGCCGUAUUAGCUAGUUGGUAAGGUAACGGCUUACCAAGGCAACGAUACGUAGCCGACCUGAGAGGGUGAUCGGCCACACUGGAACUGAGACACGGUCCAGACUCCUACGGGAGGCAGCAGUAGGGAAUCUUCCGCAAUGGGCGAAAGCCUGACGGAGCAACGCCGCGUGAGUGAUGAAGGUCUUCGGAUCGUAAAACUCUGUUAUUAGGGAAGAACAAAUGUGUAAGUAACUGUGCACGUCUUGACGGUACCUAAUCAGAAAGCCACGGCUAACUACGUG